RNAcentral lists this ribosomal RNA (489 nucleotides) under uncultured bacterium. RNAcentral describes it as "bacterial SSU rRNA". It matches the Rfam family "Bacterial small subunit ribosomal RNA", at positions 28 to 507 of the family's 1533-position model. The record is from RNAcentral.
GAUGAACGCUAGCGGCAGGCCUAAACAUGCAAGUCGAGGGGCAUCAUGGCGUAGCAAUACGCUGAUGGCGACCGGCGCACGGGUGCGUAACGCGUAUGGAACCUACCCACCGCAGGGGGAUAACCCGCCGAAAGGCGGACUAAUACCCCCAUGGUUCCCCGACCCUGCCUGGGGUUGGGGGUAAAGCCUACGGGCGGCGGUGGAUGGCCCUGCGUGCCAUUAGCUGGCUGGUGGGGUAACGGCCCACCAGGGCGACGAUGGCUAGGGGGUCUGAGAGGACGAUCCCCCACACUGGUACUGAGACACGGACCAGACUCCUACGGGAGGCAGCAGUGAGGAAUAUUGGUCAAUGGGCGCAAGCCUGAACCAGCCAUCCCGCGUGCAGGAAGACGGCGCUAUGCGUUGUAAACUGCUUUUCCAGGGAGAGAAACUUGCGCACGUGUUGCGCAAUUGACGGUACCCUGGGAAUAAGCAUCGGCUAACUCCGUG